UGGAGCGCAGGGUUAUGAACACACACGGUGGGAGAGUUUGCACAAGUUCAGUAUCAGGUUCAGAUGAGGAUGAAACUGAUCCAGGAUAUCCCAGCCAAAAGGAUGUGUCUCAUUUUCCAGGGAAUUUCCUCCUCCGUGGAGUGCAAGGAAGAGUGGCGGAGCUAUUUGAUAUGUGUGAUGUAUAGGAUAAAGCAGGCCAGAGGGGGUCAUUCACAAGGCUUACUUUACCAGUGUUUCCAGGAAAUGGACAUGGAUGUAUCCGUCCUGUGAGGCCUCGACAGAGUGACCCAAACAUUAGACGUCACACUUAUAGGAGGAGGACGGGGCAGGAAGUGGCUGAAGGCCGUCCGUUGGCUGCCGGUGAAUUAUGCCAGAGAAGGGAC
Molecule: long non-coding RNA, 383 nt
Organism: Cyprinus carpio carpio
Lineage: Eukaryota; Metazoa; Chordata; Actinopteri; Cypriniformes; Cyprinidae
Source: Ensembl